AGUAAAGCUUUACCUUUGUUUGCUAAUGUCGAUCUAUUAUUAUUCCCAUUCGAAACUUUAUGAACUGGUUGCACAGGUUCAGGUUGGUUCAGCUCCGGAAUAGAAUGUUUUCGAAGAAGUUUUUCAAGAUUGGCUAUGUGUUUCUUAGUAGACGACUCAGGCUCAGUUGAAGUAACCGGCGGCUUCAGAGAUUGAGUCAUUGACGCAGAAGUGGGUUUCCUUGAAGGAUUCAACGGAGAUUGCCGGUAUCUGAAACCCUCAACAAGGUGGAGGUUCUGGGCGGGAAGACUUGCGCUGAUCUGCAUGGAUUUGACA
RNAcentral lists this unclassified non-coding RNA (315 nucleotides) under Hevea brasiliensis (rubber tree). Lineage: Eukaryota; Viridiplantae; Streptophyta; Magnoliopsida; Malpighiales; Euphorbiaceae. The record is from RNAcentral.